Molecule: ribosomal RNA, 469 nt
Filed under: uncultured bacterium
Lineage: Bacteria
Description: partial 16S ribosomal RNA
Rfam family: Bacterial small subunit ribosomal RNA
Source: RNAcentral
GAUGAACGCUGGCGGCGUGCUUAACACAUGCAAGUCGAACGGUGAAGCUCCAGCUUGCUGGCGUGGAUCAGUGGCGAACGGGUGAGUAACACGUGAGCAACCUGCCCCUGACUCUGGGAUAACAGCCGGAAACGGCUGCUAAUACCGGAUAUGCACCAUGAACGCAUGUUCUGUGGUGGGAAAGAUUGUUCGGUUGGGGAUGGGCUCGCGGCCUAUCAGCUUGUUGGUGAGGUAAUGGCUCACCAAGGCGUCGACGGGUAGCCGGCCUGAGAGGGUGACCGGCCACACUGGGACUGAGACACGGCCCAGACUCCUACGGGAGGCAGCAGUGGGGAAUAUUGCACAAUGGGCGAAAGCCUGAUGCAGCAACGCCGCGUGAGGGAUGACGGCCUUCGGGUUGUAAACCUCUUUUAGCAGGGAAGAAGCGAGAGUGACGGUACCUGCAGAAAAAGCGCCGGCUAACUACGUG